UCUUUUUGUUAAAAAUUUAAAGUCUAGCCUGCCCACUGAAAAUUUGAAUGGCCGCGAUAUUUUGAUCGUGCUAAGGUAGCAUAAUCAUUAGUUUUUUAAUUGAAAGCUAGAAUGAAGGGUUGGAUAAGAAAAUAUCUGUCUAAAUAAAAUUUUUUAAAACUUUAUUUUUAAGUUAAAAAGCUUAAAUUUUUUUAAAAGACGAGAAGACCCUAUAGAGUUUUAUAAAUUAAUAAUUUUUUUUUUUAGUAUUAAGUUUUAAAUUUUAAAAAAUUUAUUUGAUUGGGGUGAUUAAAAAAUUUAAUUAACUUUUUUAUAUAAAAAUAUUAAUGAAUAGAUUUUUGAUCCAAUAAUUUUGAUUAAAGAUUAAAUUACCUUAGGGAUAACAGCGUAAUUUUAUUAGAGAGCUCUAAUCGAUAAUAAAGAUUGCGACCUCGAUGUUGGAUUAAAA
This 448-nucleotide ribosomal RNA is filed under the name Agetocera mirabilis. Its description in RNAcentral is "partial 16S ribosomal RNA". Lineage: Eukaryota; Metazoa; Arthropoda; Insecta; Coleoptera; Chrysomelidae. The record is from RNAcentral.